Molecule: non-coding RNA, 31 nt
Filed under: Mus musculus (house mouse)
Lineage: Eukaryota; Metazoa; Chordata; Mammalia; Rodentia; Muridae
Source: RNAcentral
UGGUAGCUCACAACCAUCGUUAUUGAGAUCU